GACGUAGGGCGCGAGCGUUGUCCGGAUUUAUUGGGCGUAAAGAGCUCGUAGGCGGCUUGUUGCGUCGACUGUGAAAACCCGCGGCUUAACUGCGGGCUUGCGGUUGAUACGGGCGGGCUAGAGUUCGGUAGGGGAGAGUGGAAUUCCCGGUGUAGCGGUGAAAUGCGCAGAUAUCGGGAAGAACACCUAUGGCGAAGGCAGCUCUCUGGGACGGUACUGACGCUGAGACGCGAAAGCGUGGGGAGCGAACAGG
Molecule: ribosomal RNA, 253 nt
Filed under: uncultured bacterium
Lineage: Bacteria
Description: partial 16S ribosomal RNA
Rfam family: Bacterial small subunit ribosomal RNA
Source: RNAcentral